Molecule: long non-coding RNA, 1653 nt
Organism: Oncorhynchus keta (chum salmon)
Lineage: Eukaryota; Metazoa; Chordata; Actinopteri; Salmoniformes; Salmonidae
Exons: 5
Source: RefSeq, a predicted model, not a curated record
UAACACUUAUAAAUACAGUCUAGUUAUAGUUAUAUACUGAACCAUGACGUUUCUACAAUUAUAAAUAUAGUUGUUCCCAUGCCAACCAAGCUGGGUGUUAAGAUUACUUAUAAAAAUUCCAGGCAUGAUUCUUCAUCUUAAAACCAAUUCAGAAUUGAGUUUCUAUGAUAAAAGAGCGCAGUGCCUCUUGUCUUAAUCAAAGAAUUCAAUAUAUACAUCUCAAGUUUCAGAGUGGAGGAGAGGUCUGCUGAGUUUCUCUGAAACGAAAAGCCUCGGGGCCAUAGCCUAAGUGUAGUGCAGAGAGCUCGAUAAUGUCUCGUAGAGAAGACACCACGAAGACGAAGGUCUGAAAGCAGCAGGUGGCCACGGUGUGUUAGUCACCGAAGAGGAAGGUCUGAAAGCAGCAGGUGGCCACGGUGUGUUAGUCACCGAAGAGGAAGGUCUGAAAGCAGCAGGUGGCCACGGUGUGUUAGUCACCGAAGAGGAAGGUCUGAAAGCAGCAGGUGGCCACGGUGUGUUAGUCACCGAAGAGGAAGGUCUGAAAGCAGCAGGUGGCCACGGUGUGUUAGUCACCGAAGAGGAAGGUCUGAAAGCAGCAGGUGGCCACGGUGUGUUAGUCACCGAAGAGGAAGGUCUGAAAGCAGCAGGUGGCCACGGUGUGUUAGUCACCGAAGAGGAAGGUCUGAAAGCAGCAGGUGGCCACGGUGUGUUAGUCACCGAAGAGGAUGGUCUGAAAGCAGCAGGUGGCCACGGUGUGUUAGUCACCGAAGAGGAAGGUCUGAAAGCAGCAGGUGGCCACGGUGUGUUAGUCACCGAAGAGGAUGGUCUGAAAGCAGCAGGUGGCCACGGUGUGUUAGUCACCGAAGAGGAAGGUCUGAAAGCAGCAGGUGGCCACGGUGUGUUAGUCACCGAAGAGGAAGGUCUAAAAGCAGCAGGUGGCCACGGUGUGUUAGUCACCACCCGCUGGUGGUUAAUGAACUACGGCAGACAUGUAGAAUCCACUGCAAAUUAACAAAACAUGAGGCGAUAGGACGACCAACAGCCGCUGUCAGACGCUCUGGUGUGCUGCCUCUCGGAACCCCGUCUGUCUAUCUGGUGCAGGCGGUACUCGAUGGUGUUGUCUGUGUCGUACCCGUCUGUCUAUCUGGUGCAGGCGGUACUCGAUGGUGUUGCCUGUGUCGUACCCGUCUGUCUAUCUGGUGCAGGCGGUACUCGAUGGUGUUGUCUGUGUCGUACCCGUCUGUCUAUCUGGUGCAGGCGGUACUCGAUGGUGUUGUCUGUGUCGUACCCGUCUGUCUAUCUGGUGCAGGCGGUACUCGAUGGUGUUGUCUGUGUCGUACCCGUCUGUCUAUCUGGUGCAGGCGGUACUCGAUGGUGUUGUCUGUGUCGUACCCGUCUGUCUAUCUGGUGCAGGCGGUACUCGAUGGUGUUGUCUGUGUCAUACCCGUCUGUCUAUCUGGAGCAGGCAGUACUCCUGUGUGUGUGUGUGUGUGUGUGUGUGUGUGUGUGUGUGUGUGUGUGUGUGUGUGUGUGUGUGUGUGUGUGUGUCGUAGCUGCCUGUCUAUCUUGUGCAGGCAGUACUCCUGUGUGUGUUGUGUGUGUGUGUGUGUGUGUGUGUGUGUGUGUGUGUGUGUGUGUGUGUGUGUGUGUGUG